RNAcentral lists this ribosomal RNA (468 nucleotides) under uncultured bacterium. RNAcentral describes it as "partial 16S ribosomal RNA". It matches the Rfam family "Bacterial small subunit ribosomal RNA", at positions 28 to 507 of the family's 1533-position model. The record is from RNAcentral.
GACGAACGCUGGCGGCGUGCUUAACACAUGCAAGUCGAACGGAAAGGCCCUGCUUUUGUGUGGUGCUCGAGUGGCGAACGGGUGAGUAACACGUGAGUAACCUGCCCUUGACUUUGGGAUAACUUCAGGAAACUGGGGCUCAUACCGGAUAGGAGCUCCUGCUGCAUGGUGUGGGUUGGAAAGUUUCGGCGGUUGGGGAUGGACUCGCGGCUUAUCAGCUUGUUGGUGGGGUAGUUGCUUACCAAGGCUUUGACGGAUAGCCGGCCUGAGAGGGUGACCGGCCACAUUGGGACUGAGAUACGGCCCAGACUCCUACGGGAGGCAGCAGUGGGGAGUAUUGCACAAUGGGGGGAAGCCUGAUGCAGCAACGCCGCGUGCGGGAUGACGGCCUUCGGGUUGUAAACCGCUUUCGCCUGUGACGAAGCGUGAGUGACGGUAAUGGGUAAAGAAGCACCGGCUAACUACGUG